GUACCGUGAGGGAAAGGUGAAAAGAACCCCGGGAGGGGAGUGAAAAGAACAUGAAACCAUAAACUUAUAAUCAGUAGGAGGACGACUUGAACGUCUAACUGCGUGCCUGUUGAAGAAUGAGCCGGCGACUUAUAAUUAACGGCAGGUUAAAGUAGAGAAUACUGGAGCCAUAGUGAAAGCGAGCUUGAAUAGGGCGUUUGUCCUUAAUUAUAGACCCGAACCCGGAUGAUCUAACCAUGAUCAGGUUGAAACUUAGGUAAUACUAUGUGGAGGACCGAACUGACUGAUGUUGAAAAAUCAGCGGAUGAAUUGUGGUUAGGGGUGAAAUGCCAAUCGAAUUCGGAGCUAGCUGGUUCUCCCCGAAAUGCGUUUUGGCGCAGCGACAAAUGUUUAAAUUUAGGGGUAAAGCACUGUUACGUAUGCGGGCUGGUAAUUCGGUACCAAAUCGUUGCAAACUAAGAAUACUAAAUGUAUAAUUUGUCAGUGAGACUGUGGGGGAUAAGCUCCAUUGUCAAGAGGGAAACAGCCCAGAACACUAGUUAAGGCCCCUAAAUAAUUACUAAGUGAUAAAAGAGGUGGGAGUGCACAAACAAUCAGGAGGUUCGCUUAGAAGCAGCAAUCCUUUAAAGAGUGCGUAAUAGCUCACUGAUCGAGUAAGCCUGCGCUGAAAAUGUACGGGACUAAGUAAUUUGCCGAAACUGUGUGAUCUAUCAUUACUUUUUUUAAGAAUUUUUAGAAUAGAUCGGUAGGGGAGCGUUCUGCUCUAGGUUGAAGUAUUAGCGUAAGUGGAUAUGGACAAAGCAGAAGUGAGAAUGUCGGCUUGAGUAACGAAAAUAUAGGUGAGAAUCCUAUACCCCGAAAACUCAAGGUUUCCUCCGGAAGGCUCGUCCGCGGAGGGUAAGUCAGGACCUAAGGUGAGGCUGAAAAGCGUAAUCGAUGGACAACGUGUUAAUAUUCUCGUACCAUUAUUUAUUAUUUAAAGAUAUCGAGGGACGGAGAAGACUAAACUAGCCGAAUGUUGGUUUUCGGUUUAAUCGUUUAAGGUGAUGAGAAAUGGUGAAAACAUUUUGAGCUAAGGCGUGAAUACAAGAUUUUCUUUUGAAUAUCAAAGUAGUUGAUGUCAUACUUCCAAGAAAAGCUCGCACUGUCAACAGUAAAUAAUGCCUGUACCAUAACCGACACAGGUGGGUAGGUAGAGCAUACUAAGGGGCGCGAGAUAACUCUCUCUAAGGAACUCGGCAAAAUGACUCCGUAACUUUGGGAGAAGGAGUGCCUUUAAAAGGUUGCAAUAACAAGAUCCAAGCAACUGUUUAUCAAAAACACAGGUCUCCGCUAAGUCGUAAGACGAUGUAUGGGGGCUGACGCCUGCCCAGUGCCAGAAGGUUAAAGAAAUUGGUAAUAAAGCUAAUAACUGAAGCCCUGGUGAACGGCGGCCGUAACUAUAACGGUCCUAAGGUAGCGAAAU
Molecule: ribosomal RNA, 1465 nt
Filed under: Grammatophora oceanica
Lineage: Eukaryota; Bacillariophyta; Fragilariophyceae; Rhabdonematales; Grammatophoraceae
Description: partial Bacterial large subunit ribosomal RNA
Rfam family: Bacterial large subunit ribosomal RNA
Source: RNAcentral